RNAcentral lists this long non-coding RNA (474 nucleotides) under Dasypus novemcinctus (nine-banded armadillo). Its description in RNAcentral is "lncRNA (ENSDNOG00000049945.1)". The record is from RNAcentral. Lineage: Eukaryota; Metazoa; Chordata; Mammalia; Cingulata; Dasypodidae.
UCCUUUUGCUAAGAGAAAUUCUUGCAUUCUUAGGAGAAUAGAAUUUGUUCUGCCUCACUGUUUAACACCCUUGAAAUUGACAUGAUAUUAUUUCUACUGUCUAUGAGUUCUCAAAAGAUUCAACUCCUCUGCCUUCCAGAAUUUGUUCCAAUUGGCUCAUCAAAUUUAGAUCCUCCUCUGCUUUGAGUCUGAUACCACUGCCGCCUCUACGCGGUCAUCCUGCCCAGGCCUGCCAAAUUCACCGGGCAAGUCGAGGGUGGGCUCUGAAUUCCAAGCCGCCAAAGGCAAGGCCUCUGCUACACGUUGAAUUAAUGUAGUCCAACAUUUCCCAAAGGCGUGUCGUUUGGAAAUUCUGCAUACUAUAGCUCCCUAAAAAUACAUAUAUUCUUUUUUAAAAAAAAGGAAAAAAUUAUCUUCCUUGGUUUAAUUCAGUACUUUCCAAUCUUAUUUAAUCACAGAGUUCCUUUACACAUG